This 378-nucleotide unclassified non-coding RNA is filed under the name plant metagenome. RNAcentral describes it as "partial contains 5.8S ribosomal RNA, internal transcribed spacer 2, and large subunit ribosomal RNA". The stretch from base 1 to 106 matches the Rfam family "5.8S ribosomal RNA", at positions 49 to 154 of the family's 154-position model. The record is from RNAcentral.
CGAAAUGCGAUAAGUAAUGUGAAUUGCAGAAUUCAGUGAAUCAUCGAAUCUUUGAACGCACCUUGCGCUCCUUGGUAUUCCUUGGAGCAUGCCUGUUUGAGUAUCAUGAAAUCUUCAAAGUAAAUCUUUUGUUAACUCAAUUGGUUUCUACUUUGGUAUUGGAGGUCUUUGCAGCUUCACACCUGCUCCUCUUUGUUCAUUAGCUGGAUCUCAGUGUUAUGCUUGGUUCCACUCGGCGUGAUAAGUUAUCUAUCGCUGAGGACACUGUAAAAGGUGGCCAAGGUAAAUGCAGAUGAACCGCUUCUAAUAGUCCAUUGACUUGGACAAUACUUUUAUGAUCUGAUCUCAAAUCAGGUGGACUACCCGCUGAACUUAAGC